CUAGAGCUGAACUAAAACCACAGACAAUUCAGAAGAGGGUUCUUUUUAAGAAAACGGUGAAAGAAAAGAAUUUGCAAGCCCGCCAGAUGAUGCAAAUGUAAGGCAAGGACCUUGAAAACCAAAUUCUAGAAGAUAGCAAGAAGACACAAGUGUAAGAAAAAAGAAAAGACAAGUGACCGAGACUGAUGCAUUAGUAUAGAACUGGUAAGAAGACAUUGGUUUCCCGAAGGAGAUGGUUAUUCCAGUGGUUCUCACCCCAAGCUGAAGACCCUCUGUUGGAUUGGGAAGACAUCUACCACUUCUCCAACCUGCACAGAACCAGAUCUGCUGACUUGCUUCUCCCGACUCUUUUAGCCACACCAGGCUCUUUCUCCUAAGGAUAUAAAUAAAAAUGGAUUUUCCACUGGAAACAGGUCAAAUGACUUAAUACAGCCAUAGACAAUUCAGAGGGACCUGGUAAAUCCUAAAUGAGUCAUGCUUCAUUUGAAUAACAAACCAGAGGGACGCUCAAUCCUGCAGCAGAAAGAAAUAGAAUUGUACAGUUGGAGGGAACUUGAUAA
Leptonychotes weddellii (Weddell seal) is the source of this 560-nucleotide long non-coding RNA. RefSeq lists it as uncharacterized. Lineage: Eukaryota; Metazoa; Chordata; Mammalia; Carnivora; Phocidae. The record is from RefSeq and is a predicted model, not a curated record.